AAGCCCACUUCGGGAAACCAGUUUUCCUCUUUAGAUAUUCAGGAUUAUGCAUUUCAAAUGCUGGACAGUAAAGUGUCUAACGAUUCCCUACUUCAUAUUAUAGUCCCUUCAGACCUUCUGCCAAAUAUAACAUUACAUUGUACACAGUACUCUGAGUCUGCUUUAGUGAUAGUGAUAUUUCUAAGGGUGGCUCAAACCCCCUGUAUCACAGAACUGGGUGGUCUCUCGGAGAGACCUCACCCCAAACCUGCCUGCGGAGUUCUGGGAAGAUGGAGAUACUCCCCGCAUUUUGAGUUACUUGGGAUGGUAAUAAGAAGGCUAACGUUUUAUAUACAUCAUAGCGUCACAAGAAGAUUUCUUCUACGUAACUGCUUUACACAUCCAGAGAGGGCUGAGUUUGUCGUUAUUACUUCCCAAAGAUUAUUUUUUUUUAGAUCUGCAGGGACAUGUCCUACUUUACAGCUUUCCCAGGCAACGUUUCAGGUACAAGUGUGAGCUUUAGUAAAACCUUAACACCGCUUUCACUCACCCACUGGUGAGUUAUUCAUCGACGCCUUGCCCAAGUUACACAAUAUGACAAGACGCCAUAACGGAAACGAGGAGCUACUUCCCAGUGAUGCAUGCCCUCUGACUUUGAAAGACCACAACUGCGGGCGUCCAGUAGGUAAACCUAACCCUUGUGUUCUGGGAUGACAGCCUAAGGAUCUUGCAGAGUUACAGAUACAGCUGGAUCUAUUGGCAGACACACUUGCUGACGGGGCCACAUUAUCAAUGAGAUCGGGUCUGAACCAGGCUGAUGACUGUGCAGGCCUGUGAAUGGAGGAGUCCAUGCGGAACAUCAUCAGCCCACGGGAGAAUGAUCCUGUCUGACAAGCCGCAGAACGACAGGCCAGAAACAAAUCGGGGAAUAAAAACUGCUGGAAGCAAACGCUGAGUUUAACGGAACCACUACCGUGCGGGGAUUAUCGUUCCGAAGAGUAGGACGUCCGUCGGAGUUUGCCAACCUUAGCGACGCAUCUCAAGCGCUGCCCUGCUAAUAAUGGUCUUGGACUUGGGACAGAUCUGGCCAAACCAGCAGACGGCUGUCUUUUUAUGCAGAGAUAAUUACUACUGUAGCUUAGAAAGUGUUGCGUCUUUCAGACACCGUUAGCUGUAAUUCGAUUGUUUUUCAAAUAAUGUAGCCUAACACAGAAAGUUAAUAAAAAAUACUCUAAAACGCUCCCA
Long non-coding RNA from Lepisosteus oculatus (spotted gar), 1224 nucleotides. RefSeq lists it as uncharacterized. The record is from RefSeq and is a predicted model, not a curated record. Lineage: Eukaryota; Metazoa; Chordata; Actinopteri; Semionotiformes; Lepisosteidae.